Gavialis gangeticus (Gharial) is the source of this 342-nucleotide non-coding RNA. NCBI's taxonomy places the organism in Eukaryota, Metazoa, Chordata, Crocodylia, Gavialidae. The record is from the annotation of a RefSeq genome assembly.
ACAGGACAGCCAAACGCCUCUCCUACUGUCCACCUUUUCCCUCCAUCCUCCGAAGAGCUCAGCACCAAGAGCAAGGCCACGCUGGUGUGUCUGAUGGACAGCUUUUAUCCCGGCUCGGUCCAGGUCACCUGGAAAGCUGAUAGCACCACCAUCUCCAGUGGAGUGGAGACCACCAAGGCGUCCAAACAGAGCAACAACCAGUACAUGGCCAGCAGCUACCUGACGCUGAGCGCCUCCGACUGGGAGAGCCACAAGAUCUACACCUGUCAGGUGACGCACGAUGGGAAGAGCAUCAACAAGACCCUGAACAGAUCAGAGUGCUCUUAAUCUCAACCACAGCAA